UUGAACGCUGGCGGCAUGCCUAACACAUGCAAGUCGAACGGCAGCGCGGGGAGCUUGCUCCCUGGCGGCGAGUGGCGGACGGGGGAGUAACGCGUGGGAAUCUGCCCAGUAGUGGGGGACAACAUGUGGAAACGCAUGCUAAUACCGCAUACGCCCUACGGGGGAAAGCAGGGGAUCUUCGGACCUUGCGCUAUUGGAUGAGCCCGCGUCCGAUUAGCUUGUUGGUGAGGUAAUGGCUCACCAAGGCGACGAUCCGUAGCUGGUCUGAGAGGAUGAUCAGCCACACCGGGACUGAGACACGGCCCGGACUCCUACGGGAGGCAGCAGUGGGGAAUAUUGGACAAUGGGGGAAAGCCUGAUCCAGCAAUGCCGCGUGUGUGAAGAAGGCCUGCGGGUUGUAAAGCACUUUCAAUUGGGAAGAAAAGCAGUCGGCUAAUACCUGGCUGUCUUGACGUUACCUUUACAAGAAGCUCCGGCUAACUCCGUGCCAGCAGCCGCGGUAAUACGGAGGGUGCGAGCGUUAAUCGGAAUUACUGGGCGUAAAGCGCGCGUAGGCGGUUAGGGCAGUCGGAUGUGAAAGCCCUGGGCUUAACCUAGGAAUUGCAUUCGAUACUGCAGGACUAGAGUAUGGGAGAGGGAAGUGGAAUUUCCGGUGUAGCGGUGAAAUGCGUAGAUAUCGGAAGGAACACCAGUGGCGAAGGCGACUUCCUGGCCCAAUACUGACGCUGAGGUGCGAAAGCGUGGGUAGCAAACAGGAUUAGAUACCCUGGUAGUCCACGCCGUAAACGAUGAGAACUAGAUGUCGGGGGGGUUUAGCCCCUCGGUGUCGCAGCUAACGCAUUAAGUUCUCCGCCUGGGGAGUACGCCGGCAACGGUAAAACUCAAAGGAAUUGACGGGGACCCGCACAAGCGGUGGAGCAUGUGGUUUAAUUCGAUGCAACGCGAAGAACCUUACCUGCCCUUGACAUCCUCGGAACUCGGCAGAGAUGCCUUGGUGCCUUCGGGAACCGAGAGACAGGUGCUGCAUGGCUGUCGUCAGCUCGUGUCGUGAGAUGUUGGGUUAAGUCCCGCAACGAGCGCAACCCUUGUCCCUAGUUGCCAGCGGUUCGGCCGGGAACUCUAGGGAGACCGCCAGCGACAAGCUGGAGGAAGGUGGGGACGACGUCAAGUCAUCAUGGCCCUUAUGGGCAGGGCUACACACGUGCUACAAUGGCCGGUACAGACGGUAGCUAACCCGCAAGGGGGAGCCAAUCCGAGAAAGCCGGUCGUAGUCCGGAUCGGGGUCUGCAACUCGACCCCGUGAAGUCGGAAUCGCUAGUAAUCGCGAAUCAGCAACGUCGCGGUGAAUACGUUCCCGGGUCUUGUACACACCGCCCGUCACACCAUGGGAGUUGGUUGCACCAGAAGUAGGUAGUCUAACCCUCGGGAGAGCGCUUACCACGGUGUGGCUAAUGACUGGGGUG
RNAcentral lists this ribosomal RNA (1463 nucleotides) under uncultured prokaryote. Its description in RNAcentral is "partial 16S ribosomal RNA". It matches the Rfam family "Bacterial small subunit ribosomal RNA". The record is from RNAcentral.